This 532-nucleotide ribosomal RNA is filed under the name Stagonosporopsis cucurbitacearum. Its description in RNAcentral is "eukaryotic LSU rRNA". The stretch from base 168 to 321 matches the Rfam family "5.8S ribosomal RNA". Lineage: Eukaryota; Fungi; Ascomycota; Dothideomycetes; Pleosporales; Didymellaceae. The record is from RNAcentral.
UAGGUGAACCUGCGGAAGGAUCAUUACCUAGAGUUGCGGGCUUUGCCUGCCAUCUCUUACCCAUGUCUUUUGAGUACCUUCGUUUCCUCGGCGGGUUCGCCCGCCGGUUGGACAACACUUAAACCCUUUGUAAUUGAAAUCAGCGUCUGAAAAACUUUAAUAGUUACAACUUUCAACAACGGAUCUCUUGGUUCUGGCAUCGAUGAAGAACGCAGCGAAAUGCGAUAAGUAGUGUGAAUUGCAGAAUUCAGUGAAUCAUCGAAUCUUUGAACGCACAUUGCGCCCCUUGGUAUUCCAUGGGGCAUGCCUGUUCGAGCGUCAUUUGUACCUUCAAGCUCUGCUUGGUGUUGGGUGUUUGUCUCGCCUUUUGCGCGCAGACUCGCCUCAAACGAUUGGCAGCCGGCGUAUUGAUUUCGGAGCGCAGUACAUCUCGCGCUUUGCACUCACAACGACGACGUCCAAAAAGUACAUUUUUACACUCUUGACCUCGGAUCAGGUAGGGAUACCCGCUGAACUUAAGCAUAUCAAUAAG